Molecule: long non-coding RNA, 1879 nt
Organism: Oxyura jamaicensis (ruddy duck)
Lineage: Eukaryota; Metazoa; Chordata; Aves; Anseriformes; Anatidae
Exons: 2
Source: RefSeq, a predicted model, not a curated record
GGCUGCCGCCCUUCGUCUUCGUCAUGGCCGCUUGCAAGUCCGAGGGGGGGGCACUGAGAAGCAUCUCUGGCAUUUCGUAAUGUUCCAGAGGUUUCGGUGCUGGCCUUUUGUUAUCUGGCUGGUAGGUCUCACUCCGCAUCUCUGCCUCCCUUUGUGAUAACAUUAUGUGCAGUGUCUGCUAUAACCCAAAAUAUUAGGGACCAAGUUCGCCCUGGGACAGCAUGAGCUAAUGCCCGUGUCAGAAGGCUCCCGACGUGGUCCAGACGCAGCUGCUGUAAUGCCAAAGGAACGUGUCCAUCCAGAUACAUCUGUAUGGACUUCAGCUUCAUUUCAGAACAGCGUUUCUAUCUUUACCUGAAGGAAAAGCUGUUGUUUCAGGAUAGCCCAAGGAUGGGGCACAUGCCAAGCUGGAUGGCACGAGGCUGGAGGCCCCUCCUGUGCCUGCAGAAAACCCCAGAGGUGCUGCCAGGAGAGCCUGCUUGAAAUGACCUCCUUCCUGCAGCUCUGUUUGUCCUGCAAGCAAACCAGCUUCAGCAGAAAGGGGCUGGAAACAGACAGCUAUGGAAAUCAGUGAUUUCAGAGGGCUCUGAGGGGAUGAGGAUCCUAAGUGAGACACUUGAGUUAAAUACCUAUAGUUAGACCAGCUGAGCAUUUUCUAUUCCUCCCCUUACAGGUGCUUGAGAAGCAAUAUAAGAGCUGGACUAGAGAGGAUCUGUUCUGAAGUUACUGUCAGUACUGUUCUCCCUGCGGGGUCAGGCUCAGAUAACCAUAACCCCAUGAGAACAGCCCUCUUCCUUAAGCAUAAGAGUUCCCAGCGCUGCAGACGGCGGUGCACAAUGCCUGAGCACUGCUCAAGAGGUUCCCAUCACAGCAGAGCAAAACAGGCUCCUGCAUUCCGUAUUUCUAACCAGGGCAUUACCCGUCAGUUUAAAGGACAGUGAUUGGAGUGAUGGCACCUGAAGGCUUAUUCCUGCCAGCUGGCACAAUCACUUCUGAGAGAUUUCCUGAGGAACAUCAGCAGCAGGAGCAGAUAGCUUAGACCCUGCCUGUCUCCUACCAGCAGCACAGAAACAAGCAAUCACAUAAAAAUUCACAGGAACAAAAACAUCUUUGCCCACAGUUGCCAUUAGAAUAGAAAACUAAGUAGGGUUUGGCUUCCCAUUCAGCUGGAACUUCUUAAAAAGCUCCUUUUGUUACAUUAAAUAUGACACUUUCCCGCAGCUUGCUCCUCAGGGGAGAACACAGCCCCCUACAAGUGGAUCGCAAACAUACCUGGUACCUUUGGGCCUAGCAACGACUCACGGCUCCUUGGCUGGAUCCAAGCAGGACACAUCACACGAACUUACAGGAAGUCUGUGACGUGCACAGAAGAUUCCAGCUGACAACAAAAGUCAGAAGUUUGUUAGAGAAGAGGGAGGAGACAGCAGUUGUUCAUAGCUAAAACCCAGCACAAAUGCUGCGGAGAUGCCUGACUGACUCAGCCCCCACAGGCCCACCACCUGCCCCUUCUGGGCCUGAGUUUCCUCAGCUGUAAGUUGUCAUUGCUUGAAGAUAUUCAGAUUCUGUGUAUUAGAAGAGCAUUCCCGGAAAAGUGAAUGUUAUUGAUCUAACAUUGCUCUCAGUAAAAGUAAUGAGAGUCUGAGGAAAACAUGGUAUGUGAAGGGGCUUUUAAAUGUAAGGUCAAAUUGAUACUUUUUGUGCCUAAAAACUCAUCUGUUUUUACCAUUUAAACUGGCUAGUUUCGUAAAAAACUCCCUCCCUUAAUCGCUUUAGACCAUCACGGUACAAUGGUACUACUUUUAGAGAACAUUAGUGCCACAGAAAUAAUUAAACCUAAAAAAAGCAAGCACAGUGCUAGUUGGAAAUAUAGCCCAGGGCU